GACGAACGCUGGCGGCGUGCUUAACACAUGCAAGUCGAACGGAAAGGCCCUGCUUUUGUGGGGUGCUCGAGUGGCGAACGGGUGAGUAACACGUGAGUAACCUGCCCUUGACUUUGGGAUAACUUCAGGAAACUGGGGCUACUACCGGAUAGCAGCUCCUGCUGCAUGGUGGGGGUUGGAAAGUUUCGGCGGUCGCGGUUGGACUCGCGGGUUAUCAGCUUGUUGGUGGGGUAGUGGCUUACCCAGGAUUUGACGGGUACCCGGCCUGGGAGGGUGAACGGGGACAUGGGGACUAAGGGAGGGCGCAGACUCGUACAGGGGGCAGUAGUGGCGAAUAUGGUACAAUGGGCGGAAGCCUGAGGCAGCGACCCUGCGGGCGGGAUGACGGCCUGCGGGUUGAAAAACGCUUUCGCCUGUGACCAAGCGGGUGUGACGGUAAUGAGUAAAGAAGCACCGGCUAACUACGUG
RNAcentral lists this ribosomal RNA (468 nucleotides) under uncultured bacterium. Its description in RNAcentral is "partial 16S ribosomal RNA". It matches the Rfam family "Bacterial small subunit ribosomal RNA", at positions 28 to 507 of the family's 1533-position model. The record is from RNAcentral.